Molecule: ribosomal RNA, 200 nt
Filed under: uncultured bacterium
Lineage: Bacteria
Description: partial 16S ribosomal RNA
Rfam family: Bacterial small subunit ribosomal RNA
Source: RNAcentral
AGUGAACGCUGGCGGCAGGCCUAACACAUGCAAGUCGAACGGCAGCGGGUCCUUCGGGAUGCCGGCGAGUGGCGGACGGGUGAGGAAUACAUGGGAAUCUGCCCAGUCGUAGGGGAUAACGUAGGGAAGCUUACGCUAAUACCGCAUGCGACCUUAGGGUGAAAGCGGCGGACCGCAAGGCGUCGCGCGAUUGGAUGAGC